This 254-nucleotide ribosomal RNA is filed under the name uncultured bacterium. RNAcentral's name for it is "partial 16S ribosomal RNA". It matches the Rfam family "Bacterial small subunit ribosomal RNA", at positions 524 to 776 of the family's 1533-position model. The record is from RNAcentral.
UACGUAGGGACCAAGCGUUGUUCGGAUUUACUGGGCGUAAAGGGCGCGCAGGCGGGAAUUCAAGUCAUCUGUGAAAUCUCCGGGCUUAACCCGGAACGGUCAGGUGAUACUGUUUUGCUAGAGGGCGGAAGGGGCAAUCGGAAUUCUCGGUGUAGCGGUGAAAUGCGUAGAUAUCGAGAGGAACACCAGAGGUGAAGACGGGUUGCUGGGCCGGCACUGACGCUGACAGCGCGAAAGCCAGGGGAGCAAACAGG